UGGCGGUAAACUAAUCUUUUCAGAGGAAUCUGCCCUGUAGUCGAUAAUACACGAUUUAUUUUUCUUUAAUUUAGUUUAUAUACCGUUAUUUUAAAAUUAAUUUAUAGAUUAAUUUAAAAUAUUUUACUCGAUAGAAACUUAAAUCAAGGUUUAGUUUAUAUUAAAGAAGAGGUGGAUUACAUUUAUUUUUAUUUUGGAUUAAAUAAUUUUAGGUUUUAGUAAAAAGGAUUUGUUAGUAAUUAAUUUAAAAUAAAUUAAUUUUUGAAUUUAGCUCUAGUUU
This 280-nucleotide ribosomal RNA is filed under the name Dicranocentrus marias. RNAcentral describes it as "partial small subunit 12S ribosomal RNA". The record is from RNAcentral. Lineage: Eukaryota; Metazoa; Arthropoda; Collembola; Entomobryomorpha; Entomobryidae.